CGUAGGAGGCAAGCGUUAUCCGGAGUUACUGGGCGUAAAGCGCGUGUAGGUGGAUUGGUAAGUUACUUAUGUAAGCUCCUGGCUAAACUAGGAGAGGUUGAGUGAUACUGCCAGUCUUGAAUAGAGGAGAGGUUGACGGAAUUCCGCGUGUAGUGGUGAAAUGCGUAGAGAUGCGGAAGAACACCAGUGGCGAAGGCGGUCAACUGGCCUCAUAUUGACACUCAGACGCGAAGGCAUGGGUAGCGAACGGGAUUAGAAACCCCGGUAGUCCAUGCAAUAAACGAUGCACACUGAAUGUUCGUUGUCCUACGGGGCAAUGAGUGUUGAAGCUAACGCGUUAAGUGUGCCGCCUGGGGAGUACGGUCGCAAGGCUA
Molecule: ribosomal RNA, 374 nt
Filed under: uncultured organism
Description: bacterial SSU rRNA
Rfam family: Bacterial small subunit ribosomal RNA
Source: RNAcentral